Molecule: ribosomal RNA, 660 nt
Filed under: uncultured bacterium
Lineage: Bacteria
Description: bacterial SSU rRNA
Rfam family: Bacterial small subunit ribosomal RNA
Source: RNAcentral
AGUGGCGGACGGGUGAGUAACGCGUGAGAAUCUGCCUUGGGGUCGGGGACAACCACUGGAAACGGUGGCUAAUACCGGAUAAGCCGAUUGGUGAAAGAUUUAUUGCCCGAAGAGGAGCUCGCGUCUGAUUAGCUAGUUGGUGAGGUAAGAGCUCACCAAGGCAGCGAUCAGUAGCUGGUCUGAGAGGACGAUCAGCCACACUGGGACUGAGACACGGCCCAGACUCCUACGGGAGGCAGCAGUGGGGAAUUUUCCGCAAUGGGCGAAAGCCUGACGGAGCAAGACCGCGUGAGGGAGGAAGGCUCUUGGGUUGUAAACCUCUUUUCUCAGGGAAGAAGCUCUGACAGUACCUGAGGAAUCAGCCUCGGCUAACUCCGUGCCAGCAGCCGCGGUAAUACGGAGGAGGCAAGCGUUAUCCGGAAUUAUUGGGCGUAAAGCGUCCGCAGGUGGCGAUUCAAGUCUGCUGUCAAAGCACGGGGCUUAACUCCGUAAAGGCAGUGGAAACUGAAUAGCUAGAGUGCCGUAGGGGUAGAGGGAAUUCCCGGUGUAGCGGUGAAAUGCGUAGAGAUCGGGAAGAACAUCGGUGGCGAAAGCGCUCUACUGGACGGCAACUGACACUCAGGGACGAAAGCUAGGGGAGCGAAUGGGAUUAGAUACCCC